Molecule: long non-coding RNA, 2550 nt
Organism: Sitodiplosis mosellana (orange wheat blossom midge)
Lineage: Eukaryota; Metazoa; Arthropoda; Insecta; Diptera; Cecidomyiidae
Exons: 2
Source: RefSeq, a predicted model, not a curated record
CCGCCAUCAUUUUGUACAGAUUCAUCUGAUUUUGGUGUCGUAAAUUGCGUUUAUUCUAAGCAAAAUGAGAAAAUUACGUUCAUGAGCUUCGGUUUAACAGUGAUAUUACCUCACUGGGCAAAUAAUUUUUGCCUUUGCUGCCUUUAUUCUUCUAGUGUGGUCCCUUACAAACAUUUUGGGUACCUACAUGAUCAAAUCGAGUGAUGUUUUCACAUAUUUUUGGCCUCAUAUUAGCUUGGUUCAAUAAUUCACUCGAAUUCUCAACGAGAGAGCUACUUAUUGACUCUACAAUUUUAGAAUCGACAACGACUCCAAUGCUUUAUUUGCUUAAUUCGGUCAUCCGAAUACUACGAGCAAAUACUCCAAAGAAAAAUCCAAAACGUUGUAUCUCAAUGGACAGAGCAUCUGACCGGCAAUCAGAAUGCCCGCGUUUCGAUUCCCGGCAAUGGAAAGAUGCCAAUUUUUCCUCUUGUUCAUCGCUUCAAAUUAGUUUGGAAGGAAAGAAAAAAUUGGAUCUCACAUACAUUUUUGGAUUGAACGUUUCCCUUCCACAUCCAAAACUCCAACUGAACGUUCGCAUGAUUUUUGCGGAUUGUGUUCCAGAAUACCGGCACAGGUUAUCUUUCAAGCUUGCAUAACGUCAUUAUGCACUUUUUGUUAUGCAGCUUCAUCAUGCACAUUAUUAUUACAAAUUACUUUUGUAUGAUUUGCCUCUCGUACAUAAUACACGAAAUCAAUAGAAAAGAGAAAGAAAUAAAAUCGUUCCAAAUUAAUUAAUAUAAAUAUUCCCCCCAUAUUUUGUUGCGUAAAAUUUUAAUCUAUUGUUGUGGUUUAUUCUUUCUUCACCAUUAGAUCCUAAAAACGUUUUAAUUGUUGUACGAGGCCUUAUACCCGGUGGAGCAGCAGAAGCAACUAAUUUAAUAUUUCCUGGAGAUCGAAUUAUUAUGUGUGGUGAACACGAUCUACAAGGUUGCAGCUUAGAUGAAACAGUUUCUAUUAUGAAAUCAUUGCCAUUGGGUGUUGUAAGGAUUGGUUUGUGUCGACCAUUGUCUACGUCUGAUAAUAACAUAUCAUCAUCUGAAUCACCCACAUAACCGAAAGUGUUGGAAAUAUUUUUCGAAAUAAAUAUUUAACGCUUUUUUCGACGAAAGAAUGACAUUUGCAGUUCCGCUGGAUCAGGCUAUUACUUCAAGAAUAUCAUUUAUUUUAAUUUGCACCAUCAAGAUCUAGCUGUAUGACAACUAUAAAAAAUAGUACAAGAACAAAUUCUCACCUGGUUGAAAAUCCCGACUUUUUCGUAAUAACAAAACUACGUAGGGCUUUUGAUCUCGUAUACUAGGAAUAAUUAAUAAUGAGAACAAUAGGAAUAUAACAAACAGUUGAACUUGACUGUUGACACAUUUUCAAAAAAUAAAGGUCACCAAAAGCGCCACUCGUUUCAGUUGUGACCCAAGCAAAAGUCACCGUUAAAUUUAGGCUGCAUUAUUACGUUCUUUUCUACCCUGUUGGUUGUUAAGAUUUCAAAAUUCAACAUUAGACCAGAAGACACGAAGAUAUGCAAAAUAUACAACAGUUAAAUUUAAGCAAUGAAAUUAUGACAAAUAAAGUAAAGUCAGACAAUUUUUGUGAGCUAAAACUGGAUUGUAAUAUACUUCAGGAAUGCUCACAGAAAAAUGGAAGUCGAAAAUUUAACCUUACGAAGUCAAUAUAGGUGGCCCAAUCCACGAAAAAUACAGAACGCAUUUAUUUUAACCUUUUUGUGGUCGACAUGCAUAUAAACGUUAUAAGGCUGAGUCCAAAUGCUCGGCUAAAAAUCAGAUCGUGUUAUGAGCUGAUGUCAGCAGCACUAACGUCAGCUGCUGAUAUCAUCUGCUGACGAGUAUGCGUUGCGUUGUUUUAACGCAUUCGCAGAAUAAAAACAAGAUAUUCUCGAAACAUAUCAAUGAGAUUUUUGCUUGCCUCUUCGUUUUUAUACUGCAAAUGCGUUAAAACAACGCAACGCAUACUCGUCAGCAGCUGAUAUCAGCAGCUGACGUUAGUUAGUGCUGCUAACGUCAGCUCAAAACACGCUCUGGAAAAUAUUCACAUCCGUCUUUCGUCGUAUGUAGGUGGGUUUGACAUGUCAGGUUAUUUAAUUCUGGGCUAUUGCAAGCCACUAGACCCAUUUUCACAUAUAGUUUGUAGCAUUUGUGCGUGCACGUUAUAUUUUGAAUGUACCAAUCAGAACUAAAUCCUAUAGUUUCGAGAUGUAACCUGUCAAAUAUGACGUCAAUCCUCCAGUAAUUUUGGGACACCCUUUAUAUGAUCUGUUGUAAAUAGCAUACCCAUAAAACGGUGAUUUAGACAACGCGAUUAUCAAACCGAUUGUUGCAUAUAACUAAUUUGGAAAAUCAAAUGUUGACUAAAAAAUGUCCUAUGUACUGACAAACUAGCCCACAAAUUACAAGGCAAACGAGCUAAUGAUCGUUAAAAUCUAAUUUCAUAAUUAAAAACUAUCGUUGAAAACUAAUUUUAUCAAUUAAUAAAAAGAAUUACAUUCGUAAUCCCGAA